RNAcentral lists this long non-coding RNA (3086 nucleotides) under Homo sapiens (human). RNAcentral's name for it is "HSALNT0367316". Lineage: Eukaryota; Metazoa; Chordata; Mammalia; Primates; Hominidae. The record is from RNAcentral.
CAAAAUAGGGAUUUAUUAUAAAAACUAUACAAACUUUUUAUCACUCACAAAUGAUGAAAAAUUUUAAACAAUUAGUAUCCUCCCUCCAAAAUAGUGUGUUCUGUCUUUACAGUCUUCACUGGCAGUGCAUUCAGAUAGUAUAGAAAAUAACAAACAUUCCAUAUAACUUUGUCCCUACAGUAAAUAAUUUUUUAAAACUUUUCAUCAAGUUUCAGUGUUACUGAAGUUAAUUAUAGACAGUAAGGAUUACAGAAUAAGCAGUAAAUGGUCACCUGCACUGUAUUUUUCAAAGCAAAAAUUGUUUUAUAUUUUCUAUGUUGUUUUAUCCUGCCCCAAACACUUAAAGCAAAAGUUAAAUAUUUUUCCAGUUACCUGAAACUUCAAAAAUCUAUUGUACUUUGAAAAAACUUUAAAAAGCAGCAUCAUUUAAAUAGUGGUUAACUCAUAAACGUGUAUGCAACAACAUUCCACAACCCUAAUACCACUCAGGCCUGCAGAGUCACCAGCUCACAAUAAUUCAGUGCUCUGAAAGCUGGGGGGAAAGCCCCUGAGUAGUAAGUAUGCAACCCAGGGUGUCGGGUGCUUUCUUGUGGUGAAACAAGGGUGUCAAAACUGAGGGGACUCUCCAAGGUCCUAAUGAAAAGCAGCUCCUCUAAACACCUGAAUCCUUUUUGACUCCAUUCUCAUCACUUUAAGGAUGAAGCCUUUCUGUACAAAGGCUUUGUACAGAAAUUAUUAAAAACUAUAUUUUACACUAAUGCUAACAGCUAAUUGAGCAGAAAGAACUAUGAAGUACAAAUUUUUCUAAGGUUUUCUUAUUAAUGGCAAUACAGACUUUUUUUUUUUUUGAGACGGAGUCUCGCUCUGUUGCCCAGGGUGGAGUGCAGUGGCGUGAUCUUGGCUCACUGCAACCUCUGCCUCCUGGGUUCAAGCGAUUCUCCUGCCUCAGCCUCCCGAGUACCUGAAAAAGCAAAAAGAAACUAAGAGUAAACAACAGCUUUACCAAGUUAGAGUUGGUUUCUUGGAACAUCUGAACACAGAUAUACAUCAAAGCCUUAAAGUAACAACCAGGGAAUAUGUUGGCAACUAGAAAUGAAUUCUAAUUUUCUUCAUUUAACUGUCAAUACAAUCUUCUUUGAAGGAUGUGUUCUAGAAGGUGGGUGGGAGGAACCAAGCAGGUCAACGCUCUGCACUUAUUAACAAAAUCAUUUAGAAGACACUGGAAUAGUCCAAGCUCUUCCAUUCACUAGCUCUGUGAACUUGAGCCUCAGUUUCCUAACCCUCAAAAUGACAUUGAAUUAUAUCUCCAAGCUCUAAAUCACCUGUUAGCUCUACAUUGCUGACUUCAUGAUUUCAUACUGCAAAAUAAAAAAUACAAGUAAAAGGCAUUCAAAGUUAAGCCAUGAACCCAAUGUAAACAGUGAGUCCACUUAACAGAUUUUUACCGUCAAAGCAUGUCCUGUCAUGCCACUGCACACUGUGACAUGUGAUUUCCUCAUGUAUCAGGAAAGAGGAACCAACCAACUAUCUGCUCUUCCCAAACCCUUCUCCUGCUGCUGGACUCUAAAAUGCUGCACAACUUAGGCCGACCCAGAACAAAUAUAUGAGAACUCCUCUUUAUAAAUUAAGUUUAAAAAGCAAGAAUAGGCUGACUGCUGUUUAAUACUGACACUGGCACCACCAUUCAGUCCAUCUGUAAAUGGCCCCAUACCUCAAGACCUACAUAUCCAGGUCAGAGUGGAAGACUGGGAGUCCCUAGGCUACAGGACUGGACCUUGAGACUCCAUAUUCUCUGAAGCCAACAGCAAUAUGCCAUUGAGGUGAACUUAUAGAUUCUAUUCUCUAGUUUAACUAUAUUAACCUUCACAAAAUACAUAUGUGGCUUUCUUGUAAAAGGCUUUCAAGAAAUCUAAGUAUUGAAAAUAGUUACGAUGCAUGCAUGUGAAGAACGGACCCUUUCAGAGAAUAAGCUCAUUGCUUCCCACAUAAGGUGAAAACUAGCAAUCUAAUCAGAUUGUAGUGGUCAGCCAAAUAUUUUUUAAAUGCUAAUGCUUAAAAAUAUGGGUAGGCCUCUUGGCCGGGCAUGGUGGCUCACGCCUGUAAUCCCAACACUUUGGGAGGCCGAGGUGAACAGAUCACUUGAGGUCAGGAGUUUGAGACCAGCCUGGCCAAUAUGGAGAAACCCCAUCUCUACUAAAAAUAUAAAAAUGAGCUGAGCAUGGUAGUGUGUGCCUAUAAUCCCAGCUACUCAGGAGGCUGAGGCAGGAAAAUCACUUGAACUCGGGAGGUGGAGGUUGCAGUGAACUGAGACUGCGCGACUGCACUCUAGCCUGGGAGACAGAGUGAGACUCCGUCUCAGGAAAAAAAUAAUGUGUGUGUGUGUGUGUGUGUGUGUAUGUGUGUGUGUGUAUACAUAUAUAGGUAGGCCAGGUGCAGUGGCUCAAGCCUGUAAUCCCAACACUUUGGGAGGCCGAGGUGGGAGGACUGCCUGAGCCCAGUUUAAGACCACCCUAGGCAACAGUGAGACUCUGUCUCUACUAAAAAUAAAAGCUUACCAGGCAUGGCAGCACACACCUGUAGUCCCAGCUACUUGGGAGGCCAGUGGAGUAAAGAAAGUCACUGACGAGAUGAGGAACCCCAGCACUAGUCCAACACAGAGCAUGCAGAUCGAGAGGAUUCCAAAUCGCCACCACACAGCUACCAAGAACAUUCCACCGACGCUUCCAGUGACAGCUGUCAGAAUCAGAUUCACUGUACAAAGAGAGAGGAUGAACUGCUGGAUAACCGGCAGUACUUCCAACCGCGUGCCUUAGACAUACAAUACCGUUACCAGUGCCAGCUUCAGCUUUCUGUAGGUCAGGCACUGAGGGCUCUUCAGUGGUGCCAUGAAGCCAGCAUAGAGCAACCCUCUCUAGGGAGGGGUCUGGGCUGAGACAAGGAAAUUAGCUAGGGAGCUAAACCUCACAGGGCCAGUGACAGGCUUGGCUUGUCAAUAAAUUGGGAUUGAGAAGGAAAAGUUGACAAGCAUUCUGUUAAACAUAAUGGGGUAGGGAGGUAUCUGUUUUCAGGUAAAGAAAACCUCAACA